AUUGAACGCUGGCGGCAGGCCUAACACAUGCAAGUCGAGCGGAUGAAGGGAGCUUGCUCCUGGUUUCAGCGGCGGACGGGUGAGUAAUGCCUAGGAAUCUGCCUGGUAGUGGGGGAUAACGUCCGGAAACGGGCGCUAAUACCGCAUACGUCCUGAGGGAGAAAGUGGGGGAUCUUCGGACCUCACGCUAUCAGAUGAGCCUAGGUCGGAUUAGCUAGUUGGUGGGGUAAAGGCCUACCAAGGCGACGAUCCGUAACUGGUCUGAGAGGAUGAUCAGUCACACUGGAACUGAGACACGGUCCAGACUCCUACGGGAGGCAGCAGUGGGGAAUAUUGGACAAUGGGCGAAAGCCUGAUCCAGCCAUGCCGCGUGUGUGAAGAAGGUCUUCGGAUUGUAAAGCACUUUAAGUUGGGAGGAAGGGCAGUAAGUUAAUACCUUGCUGUUUUGACGUUACCAACAGAAUAAGCACCGGCUAACUUCGCG
Molecule: ribosomal RNA, 484 nt
Filed under: uncultured bacterium
Lineage: Bacteria
Description: partial 16S ribosomal RNA
Rfam family: Bacterial small subunit ribosomal RNA
Source: RNAcentral